RNAcentral lists this ribosomal RNA (2194 nucleotides) under Escherichia coli. RNAcentral's name for it is "partial 23S ribosomal RNA". It matches the Rfam family "Bacterial large subunit ribosomal RNA", at positions 474 to 2653 of the family's 2925-position model. The record is from RNAcentral. RNAcentral also lists the same sequence under 1 other name. Lineage: Bacteria; Pseudomonadati; Pseudomonadota; Gammaproteobacteria; Enterobacterales; Enterobacteriaceae.
UCCUGACUGACCGAUAGUGAACCAGUACCGUGAGGGAAAGGCGAAAAGAACCCCGGCGAGGGGAGUGAAAAAGAACCUGAAACCGUGUACGUACAAGCAGUGGGAGCACGCUUAGGCGUGUGACUGCGUACCUUUUGUAUAAUGGGUCAGCGACUUAUAUUCUGUAGCAAGGUUAACCGAAUAGGGGAGCCGAAGGGAAACCGAGUCUUAACUGGGCGUUAAGUUGCAGGGUAUAGACCCGAAACCCGGUGAUCUAGCCAUGGGCAGGUUGAAGGUUGGGUAACACUAACUGGAGGACCGAACCGACUAAUGUUGAAAAAUUAGCGGAUGACUUGUGGCUGGGGGUGAAAGGCCAAUCAAACCGGGAGAUAGCUGGUUCUCCCCGAAAGCUAUUUAGGUAGCGCCUCGUGAAUUCAUCUCCGGGGGUAGAGCACUGUUUCGGCAAGGGGGUCAUCCCGACUUACCAACCCGAUGCAAACUGCGAAUACCGGAGAAUGUUAUCACGGGAGACACACGGCGGGUGCUAACGUCCGUCGUGAAGAGGGAAACAACCCAGACCGCCAGCUAAGGUCCCAAAGUCAUGGUUAAGUGGGAAACGAUGUGGGAAGGCCCAGACAGCCAGGAUGUUGGCUUAGAAGCAGCCAUCAUUUAAAGAAAGCGUAAUAGCUCACUGGUCGAGUCGGCCUGCGCGGAAGAUGUAACGGGGCUAAACCAUGCACCGAAGCUGCGGCAGCGACGCUUAUGCGUUGUUGGGUAGGGGAGCGUUCUGUAAGCCUGCGAAGGUGUGCUGUGAGGCAUGCUGGAGGUAUCAGAAGUGCGAAUGCUGACAUAAGUAACGAUAAAGCGGGUGAAAAGCCCGCUCGCCGGAAGACCAAGGGUUCCUGUCCAACGUUAAUCGGGGCAGGGUGAGUCGACCCCUAAGGCGAGGCCGAAAGGCGUAGUCGAUGGGAAACAGGUUAAUAUUCCUGUACUUGGUGUUACUGCGAAGGGGGGACGGAGAAGGCUAUGUUGGCCGGGCGACGGUUGUCCCGGUUUAAGCGUGUAGGCUGGUUUUCCAGGCAAAUCCGGAAAAUCAAGGCUGAGGCGUGAUGACGAGGCACUACGGUGCUGAAGCAACAAAUGCCCUGCUUCCAGGAAAAGCCUCUAAGCAUCAGGUAACAUCAAAUCGUACCCCAAACCGACACAGGUGGUCAGGUAGAGAAUACCAAGGCGCUUGAGAGAACUCGGGUGAAGGAACUAGGCAAAAUGGUGCCGUAACUUCGGGAGAAGGCACGCUGAUAUGUAGGUGAAGUCCCUUGCGGAUGGAGCUGAAAUCAGUCGAAGAUACCAGCUGGCUGCAACUGUUUAUUAAAAACACAGCACUGUGCAAACACGAAAGUGGACGUAUACGGUGUGACGCCUGCCCGGUGCCGGAAGGUUAAUUGAUGGGGUCAGCGCAAGCGAAGCUCUUGAUCGAAGCCCCGGUAAACGGCGGCCGUAACUAUAACGGUCCUAAGGUAGCGAAAUUCCUUGUCGGGUAAGUUCCGACCUGCACGAAUGGCGUAAUGAUGGCCAGGCUGUCUCCACCCGAGACUCAGUGAAAUUGAACUCGCUGUGAAGAUGCAGUGUACCCGCGGCAAGACGGAAAGACCCCGUGAACCUUUACUAUAGCUUGACACUGAACAUUGAGCCUUGAUGUGUAGGAUAGGUGGGAGGCUUUGAAGUGUGGACGCCAGUCUGCAUGGAGCCGGCCUUGAAAUACCACCCUUUAAUGUUUGAUGUUCUAACGUGGACCCGUGAUCCGGGUUGCGGACAGUGUCUGGUGGGUAGUUUGACUGGGGCGGUCUCCUCCUAAAGAGUAACGGAGGAGCACGAAGGUUGGCUAAUCCUGGUCGGACAUCAGGAGGUUAGUGCAAUGGCAUAAGCCAGCUUGACUGCGAGCGUGACGGCGCGAGCAGGUGCGAAAGCAGGUCAUAGUGAUCCGGUGGUUCUGAAUGGAAGGGCCAUCGCUCAACGGAUAAAAGGUACUCCGGGGAUAACAGGCUGAUACCGCCCAAGAGUUCAUAUCGACGGCGGUGUUUGGCACCUCGAUGUCGGCUCAUCACAUCCUGGGGCUGAAGUAGGUCCCAAGGGUAUGGCUGUUCGCCAUUUAAAGUGGUACGCGAGCUGGGUUUAGAACGUCGUGAGACAGUUCGGUCCCUAUCUGCCGUGGGCG